UAAGGUCUCCGUUGGUGAACCAGCGGAGGGAUCAUUACCGAGUUUACAACUCCCAAACCCCUGUGAACAUACCACUUGUUGCCUCGGCGGAUCAGCCCGCUCCCGGUAAAACGGGACGGCCCGCCAGAGGACCCCUAAACUCUGUUUCUAUAUGUAACUUCUGAGUAAAACCAUAAAUAAAUCAAAACUUUCAACAACGGAUCUCUUGGUUCUGGCAUCGAUGAAGAACGCAGCAAAAUGCGAUAAGUAAUGUGAAUUGCAGAAUUCAGCGAAUCAUCGAAUCUUUGAACGCACAUUGCGCCCGCCAGUAUUCUGGCGGGCAUGCCUGUUCGAGCGUCAUUUCAACCCUCAAGCACAGCUUGGUGUUGGGACUCGCGUUAAUUCGCGUUCCCCAAAUUGAUUGGCGGUCACGUCGAGCUUCCAUAGCGUAGUAGUAAAACCCUCGUUACUGGUAAUCGUCGCGGCCACGCCGUUAAACCCCAACUUCUGAAUGUUGACCUCGAAUCAGGUAGGAAUACCCGCUGAACUUAAGCAUAUCAAUAAGCGGAGGA
Molecule: ribosomal RNA, 551 nt
Filed under: uncultured Fusarium
Lineage: Eukaryota; Fungi; Ascomycota; Sordariomycetes; Hypocreales; Nectriaceae
Description: eukaryotic LSU rRNA
Rfam family: 5.8S ribosomal RNA (bases 186-339)
Source: RNAcentral